RNAcentral lists this unclassified non-coding RNA (10425 nucleotides) under Venturia canescens. Its description in RNAcentral is "serine/arginine repetitive matrix protein 2, transcript variant X1". The record is from RNAcentral. Lineage: Eukaryota; Metazoa; Arthropoda; Insecta; Hymenoptera; Ichneumonidae.
GGCUGACUGAAUGAGUGCAAAAAAACUCGAAUUUUUCAUUUUCACGAGCCGCGAUGUUACAAAAACUGUGAAACUCAAAAUUCAAUAUUUUUUCUAUUAGAUUUCUGGCUUUAAUAAAUUAUUGAAAUUCGAGGAUUGUUACACUUUGUUGAUCAGAGUCGCUUUGCCGCUAUUAUUAUUCAAACGUCCGAAUCAUUUCCCGCGUCCACUAUGCGGUGCUGAAUACCUCCGCGUGCGCAUGCGAUUUCGUGCGGUGUUUCGUUGGCCCCGUUCCUCGUGUUCCUCAACGGAGUUCUGUGUUCCAAAAUUAGUAAAUAAAGAUGGCGGCAAAGUACGAGCCGUGUGCCGUAUCGGUGCUCGAAAGAUGUUUCAAAAAAUGAGACGAAAGCCGCGAAAGCAAGUAAGAAAUGUCCAAUAAAUCGGUUAAAAUUUGACAGACGUUUGAGUAGAUUAGUGAAAAACUAAGUGUCAACGGAGAACAAUAUAAAAAAAAAGUAUUCAAAAAUAUCCGGUGUAAAUAUAGUGUUGUUCGUUACAUCGUUAAAUAAAAUAAUAAUUAUUAUACGCAUACGAGAUAAUUAUCGUAAAAGAGCGGUGUACCAUCUUCUACUGCGGAGCGAAAAAGAGGAUAAUUUUGCUCCAGAGUUCACGAUAACCCAUCAAAAUGGUUGUGGGCGAGGCGAGUAUACACAAUAUUAUGGGAGGUAUGGAGAGCACAGGAGGUGUGCGUCUCCACAAUCACAAGAGAAAACUAAAACAAAGGUUCGACAUAAUAAAGAAACUGGGACAAGGAACGUACGGCAAAGUCCAAUUAGGAAUCAAUAAAGAGACUGGACAGGAAGUUGCCAUAAAAACGAUUAAGAAAUGCAAAAUUGAAACUGAGGCCGAUCUCAUAAGGAUAAGACGAGAGAUUCAAAUCAUGUCCAGUGUUCAACAUCCAAAUAUUAUUCACAUUUAUGAAGUUUUCGAGAACAAGGAGAAAAUGGUCCUCGUGAUGGAAUACGCAGCCGGGGGCGAGCUGUACGAUUACCUGAGUGAGAGGAAAGUGCUUUCUGAGCAGGAAGCUCGCAGGAUAUUUCGGCAGAUAUCGAUAGCAGUUUUUUACUGUCACAAACACAAGAUUUGUCAUCGUGAUUUGAAGCUCGAAAAUAUACUGCUGGACCAAAUCGGUAACGCGAAAAUAGCCGAUUUCGGCUUAUCCAAUGUUUUCGACGAGCAGCGCCUGCUCAACACGUUUUGCGGCAGCCCGCUUUACGCUAGUCCUGAGAUUGUCAAGGGCACACCUUACCAUGGUCCUGAAGUCGAUUGCUGGAGCUUGGGAGUUCUGCUGUACACUCUCGUUUACGGUGCGAUGCCAUUCGAUGGCUCCAAUUUCAAGAGACUCACCAGACAAAUCUCUCAAUCGGAUUAUUUUGAACCUAAAAAUCCAUCGCCGGCGUCGCCACUUAUAAAGGACAUGUUAACUAAAUGUCCGGCUCGAAGAUCCGACAUAGAAAAGAUUUGUUCCCACUGGUGGGUGAACGAGGGCUACGAACAAAAUUGUCUGGACAUAGCCGAAGAUUUGGCGGCCCAAACGCCGGUGCGUCUCGAUCUAUUAUUGUCAUUGGUGCCACAGUCGGCAAGCGCUGACAAAUUAGUCGUUGGUGACCAACGACCAACCGGAGAAGUCGUGACCGACAUGUCUUCCGAGACACUGGUGCCUACGAGGUGUCACUCAGUCGGCAGUUUGAUGGAACUCGAUCGCAACAAUUCAGACAGGAGAGUACGUGAAAUGGUCGAAGAAGAACCACGCGGGGCCUCGGCGACUGGGGACUCCAAAAGGAAACUAGAGAACACUCCCUCGAUGGACGAAACCGCUGGCCUCGAAGCCGGCGCCAAGAGGAAAGAACGCAUGAGGAAAAAGGACAAAAAUGACGAGACAAGGCCUCAUAGAUUUACUUCAAAUAGACAUCACUCAGCUCCGAUAGCUCAUCCAAUAACCGAGGAGGCAAUGGAAGUCGACCCAAGUGUCAUGGACAACGUCUCGGCGAAGCCGCUGCUGGAUCUUCGCAACGACGAGACAGCGAGUGCCUGUCUUGAGUUAAUAAAGGAAUCGCUCUCGAAGUCGCCGAGCAAAGAGAGAAGCAAAACUCCGGUAGCGAUACCGGAUAAACCGUCACCAAUGGCGUGUGAAAAUGUUCAAGACGUGAACGAAAAUGUGAACGAUGUGAAACCGUUAGGUAACAAACUCGCUGGAGUACAGGACAAGUCUCCGGAGCCAUCGAAACGGAAGGUCCCUGAAGAAGGCGCGAACAAGGUUAAGAAUGAAAUAACAUCGAAGAAAGAAGCUGAAAUUGAGGAAAAAAUCAUGAACGCUCCUGCACAAGUGCCAAACAAGGAAGAAAAUCAUGAAUUAGAGAAGGGGCAAAACGAAAAAGUUCCUAUUCCCCAAGAAAACGAGUCAGCGGAAAGUCCGAAUGUUAAAGAUGUGAAAAAGCUGAAGCAAAAAGCUCUCAGUCUCGAUUCUGAGGUAUCGAACGAAGCCGCAGUUCCACCGUCCAAACCGACUGAGAGAAGACGAUCGAAAAUCUUUGAGACUGCUGAGAAAUUCAAUCAGUUAGCAGCAGGUGUCGAAAGUGAGAAACCCAAAAAGAUUUUCAUACCCGGUGUCAACGUCGGUGGAGCUAAACGCGCUUUCGAAAGAAAAGCUAGUCUAUCCUCGAUCGUUCCUCCACAAACGGUCAAGCAAAGCGCCUCCAAAGUCAUAAUUGAUGUGCCAAACGAUACCAAGAACGAGAAACUCGAGGAUAAACCAAAUACUGUGAUGAAAACGAGUCAAGAGGUCAAAGACGAAAGUCUCAAGCGCGAGGAAGAGAAAAAGCGAGCUGUCGAUAUCAUAACGGGGGCUCUUGGAAAGCCACCGGUUCAAAAGAAACUCAACGGUUCCCCACCGAUAACACCGCAGAGCCCCGAAUCUAAAAAAUUAGGAUUGAAAAUACAGGUUGGACCCAAUGACGUCAGAUCAGCGACCGUAUCUGUCUCCACACCGGUCGAUACGAAAUUUCCAUUCGAAACAAAACCAGUGCCUUACGAGAUAUCGGUACCCAACUCCCCCGAAUCUCAGAGCUUCGAUAGCUCAUACACGGAUGAACCAACGGUGUCAAGUAAAAUGGAGAUAACAUUGAAGAGUGCAACUUUACCGAGACAGCGGAAAACGAGUAAAGCCGAGAUUACUCUCUCUGGAAUAAAGUCACCGGAGAGUGGUGCGUUCAAAAGUGAAGUGGAAGCGAAGAUUGACGCUUUUCAUCCGCAAAAAUUACGAACUCAGAGAUCCGAAGUGGCUUUCCCAGUCGCGGCUGUCGUUCCCCAAGCCAAUCGAAGUUCCAGCCUCGAACCUGAAAGCGCAGCAAAAAUGGUGCCCAAAGAAAGAAUUAUACCGAUUCAGGUCGAAGCGGAUCAUCAGCAACAACGACAAACCUCAACUCCACCACCAAAGCCACCGAUGCCACAACGUUCGAUGUCACAACGAUCGAAUUCUCUGUCGCGGCAAUCCACAGCUGAUUCGGACACUGACAGCGCUCUAGGCUCGACGAUCGGCCCUGAGCCGAUUCGUAAAAGUCCUCGAGAGUACAUUAUACCGAUAGCUGUUGAAGGCGGCGGUUACGUAACCCCGAGAUCCGGCAGUGUUGAACCGGAGAGCAAAAACAGUACUCCAACUAGUAUAAACCCACCGAGAUCGAGAUUCGGUCGGCCGAGACGCAUGAGCUCAUUGCUCUCUGAUGCUAGCGAGGACGAAUCGCCGUUUUCAACACUGCACAGGGAUAGCGACGAUCUGCUUCAGAGGCAUAUGCAUAGAUUGCGAAGUUCAAGACCGACGAGACAACCGCCCGAGCAUGCCGACAGUCUGUCGUCGGGUGAGGAUGACGAUGACGACGGUUUCGAGCUCCUGACAGCCGAGAAUUUAUUCUCGACGUUGCUGUCGCGAGUGAGAAGUCUUACCCAAAGAUUGAACGUUGACGAUAAUAGGGGUAGCGGCUUUCCUAGCAGUAGAUUGCUCGGUAGACUCGGUUCGAACUCGUCCCAAGGAUUUUGGGGGCUGCACGAACCGCUCUCCAGUCGUUCGCUUGUUUGUGCAAGCUACGAGAGCUACUUUGAAACACAGACGAUUACAACGCGACUAUCAGAGUCUCCAUUUAGGCGCUCGAUGAGCCGGGAUACCGAUUGUUUUGGGAAACGAGAUUCGGCAGUUCCGUCAAAUUCUGGAACGCCCAGCAGUCCCGGAACGAGAAGCACACCAUCGCGCGAGAGCAUUUUCGAAAUGGGAAGCAGCAAUACAUUGCCGCGAGAUAGAAAAACGCGAGAAGAGACCGAGAGCGAGGAUAGCGCGACGGAGAAAUUGAGAAAGUGCACGAAGGACUCGCUGGAGCAUAAUUUUACACCGAGUCUCGCGAGGAGACUGAGCCGACAGUUUAUCGAACAGACGAGACAGUCGCUGCCAAGGUCGCCGUCGAUACCGCGGGAGAAACUGUUCAGGUCGUCGACCGACGAGAGGGCAAAGGAAAACGGUCCUUACGGCGCCGCCGUCUCCGAUCAGACCGAGUACCGGAGUCGGUCUUGCGACCGCGGGGUCAGACGGACCAACAGCCUCCUCGAGAGCAGCGUCGACAGAUUCGAGCAGCGCUCUCCGAGGCGAAGCGUCAGCCUCUUCGACGACGAGGACGAGGAGGAGGACGGCUCGCUGCUCGUGUCCGGCUCGUUGCCGCGGCAGGUGAUGACACUCGGCAGAAAAUACAGAGACCCGAGCAAGUCCGGGUUGGGCAGCUUCCACAGUUACCGGACGGACAAAAUCCAGGAGGAGCCGCACGACGAGUUUUCUCACACGCCGAAUAAUCAAAGCCCCGACGAGUUGAAAGAGGGCGCCCGCUACGACGGGAGCUCGAGGAACAACUCGCGCACGAAUCUCCUCGCCGAGAACGGCUCGAGCCUUUCGGCAAGGUCCUGCGAAACUUCGCCCACCGAAUCGUCCUCCACCCUCGGCGACUCUGCUCUCUCGACCUACAAGCAGGACUCGUCCUCGCGCGAUUUCGAGAGCAGGCUCCUCGCAGCCGAAAAUUUGAUAAAAGAAUCGAAAGCCCGGAACCUCGGAGCUGGCAAAUACGACCGGAAUUUGUCCUCCAGCUACAAGGACACGGACAAGUGCGACAAGGAACUGCUCGGCUCGAUCGUUGACGUCUCCAACAAUUACGCCAAGAGGCGAAGCUGCAUACCGAGCCUGAGACUGCGCUCCGGUUCCCUCACCCGAGAAGCUCCCUCCACGAGCGAACGGAGGAACACCGUCUCGUGCGCCAAGGACUCCAGCCACUCCGCGACCCCGGAGAGGUCCAUACUCAGCAAGUUCUUCAGAGCUGGAAGCACCAACGGAGGCAGCGCAGCCAGGAGCGAAGAUUCCAAAGAAAAGUCCCCGAAGUGUAAAGAACCCCGGAGAAUCUCGAGGUUCCUGAGACCAGACUUCUUCGACACGCCGAGAGAAGAGAGCCAGUACGUCAAGGACAAAGAAGCCCAAAAGGCGGCUGAAAACGAGCGCAGGAAGUGCCGCUUCACGAGGAAGAAGCCCGAGACGAAGCCCAAUUCCGGCGACGAGAUGAACAACGAGGAGGAGAAGAAGCCGAUCGAGGACGAGGAGAGACCCGAAAAGGAACUGAAGAACGAGGCCAACGCUAUGACGCGUGACAAAAGCGACGUUUCGUCGAGCGACAAUAAAUUCGAUACGGAAAACCCGAGUUUGUCGACGAGCGAGCCGAAGACCGAGCGACAAGCCUCCAAGAGCAGCAGCUUCCUCCAAUCCCUCGAGAAGAAACUCGACAAAUUUCGUUCGAGCGACGACAGCGCCAAACUCGUAAACGGCAACGGUCCCACGAAGGAACGCGCGGCACGGGAAAAGUCUGCACCCCCCGUCGAGACGAGCGAAGACAGUUCCAAGCCGUCCAAACGGCCGACGAGCGUCGAAGACCUGACGCUUCCGGAGCCCAGCGCCGGCGCCUCGAAAAGCCGGGUCUCUUCGGUACUCGGGCUCUUCAAAAACGACUCGACGAAGCUCGGCUCCAACGGCCAACGCGCGCAGAGCACGAUACUGAGUAAAUUCAAGAAAAAUCCUUACAAAGGAUCCAGAUCCGACGGCGUACUCUCGGGCGAUCAGAGUCCCUCGACGAGCAACGGCAGCAAGAUCCCCACCAAGUUCGCCAAGCUCGAGGCCAAGACGAAGAAACCGGGAGACAGCAAAAAGUCCCCGGAGAAAACGCUCGAGCCGAAGAAAUCCCCGUCGAAAGAAAAAAGUCCGCCCCCGCAGAGGAGCGCUUCGAGAAAGUCGCUGGAGAAACAGUUGAAGGUGACGAAAAAAACGAGUCCGGAAAAAACGGUCGAAGGGAAGCAGGACAAGCCGGAAAAAUCAACGAGCUCGAAGGACGAGCUGUCGAGAAAAAACGGCUCGCCCGAAAAGAGCGAGAAUAAAAUAAUGAGCAUCGCGAGACUGUCGGGGAGGAAAACGUCGACCGAAAAGAUCACCGACAACAAACAGAUCGAAGCCAAGAGCAACGAAUCCGAGGACAAGAAGCUCAUCGUCAAGGCGAAGAAGAACGUCAAGUCGCUGACGAGCCUCGUGAAAAACGGCUCCGUCUCGAAACUCGAGGGCCGAGACAAGCUCGAAGGGCUCGAGAAAAAGGUGAAGAAAGUUGUGAAACCGAAGGAAACUGCGGACAAGGACGCGCCCGAUGGGACCAGGAAGAAAAAAGUCGUUCGCGUCGUCAAGAAAACCAGCAAAAGUUCCGACAGCUCGGACAGCAAAUCCGAGGAGAAAGAACCGACGAAAAAAACUCUGAUGAAAAAACUUACGUCCGUGACGAAAAAAGAGGCGAGCCCUGAAAAAUCAUCGAAAAAAAUAAAAGACAAAAGUCCUGAAUCGUCGGUGAAAAAAAUGGAGGAAAAGAGCCCCGAAAAAGCGGUGAACUCGGGCAAAGAAAAGAGCCCGGAAAAACAGUGCGGCGUGACCGAAGACGCGAUCCCAGAAACGAGAGCGUCAUCGAGUCCCGCGAAGAAUCCAGAGCCGAAAGUCGCCGCUGAAUCUCCGGCGAUACCUCGCCAAGAAACCCCACGGCGAUCUCCAAAAGGGGAGCUUCCGCUGUCGCCGGAAGCCGUUGCCCCGUCCUCGGAUUCAUCGGCCCCGAAACAGCCGGACGCAGCGAAUGCCGAUGCGGAUUCGAAGAGUUGUCUCCCGGGGCUGGGCACCGCGAAAUCGAACAAAGUCAAUCUGAAGCUCGAUUUAACAAAAAUCCCUCAACACUCGUUCAAGGUCGGAGCGUUGCCGAAGAAAGAUUCGCCCAAAGCAGAGUCCACGAAUUUCGGGACGAUCGUGGCGAAAAGCCCGGCCAGCGAGUCCCCCAAGUCCGUUCAAGUCGAAGCUAAAUUGAUGGAAAACUUGUCGAAGACGAGUCACCAUGCGAGCACAACCGGGGGCAAAAUCGCGAUUGACAAGCCGCUGCGAGCCAAGGAUUUCGAGACUUCGCGGAAGGAAGCGACCAGCCCCGAACCCCCGAAGAAUUCAGAGACCCCCUGCGCCCUCGGGAACGGCCCGGGGAACGGCAAAGACCCCCAGGAAGUGAGAGUCGAAGGGAAAGACUCGCUCCCCAAACCUUCGACUCCCUUGGUCAGACCAACGACCCUCCCGCUGGACUCCAAGAGCGCGGACGCCUCGUCUUCCCCUCGAGAAACAGCCUCCGAUCACACCGAAGACAUGUUUUCCCCCGUGGACGACGCGGAGUCCUUCGACUCGUGGUCCAUAUGUUCGGCGGACUUGAAUCACCAUCGCCACGAUCUGAACUCGCCGACCUCGCCGACGUACUCGCCCCUGAGCCGGGGCGAGCAUCCCGAGUCGAUAAUCGACAGGAUUCGUCGAAAGUCUUUUUACUCUCGAUUCAACGAAAGGAAGCGCAAGAGUUCGCUGAACGCCGCGCCGCCGGGAGUCGCGUUGCCGAGUCCUUCGAGCCUCCCCCGGAAGUACAGUUUCACCAGUUCCAGGGACAAACAGGAGUACAGAAAGCCUCGUAUCUACGGGGCUUCUUCGAGGAGAAACCCCGAGCGCAGUUACAGUCUUUACAACGAAGAAACGCUCCCAAGUUACAGGAAAUCCUCGCUCGAAAGGGAGCGUCAUUACAGCGACUCGGUCGCCAACGGAGCGAGCUCAUGCGCCGACUCCAAGUCCCCCAACGAGCAGUACAGCAGCUUGAGCUCGUGCUACGACCCGCUGAGACGAUAUCGCGUCACGCCGAGUCCCGACCCCUUAAAUUCUCAUCGGAAGUAUCAGAGCACCGAGUACGGCCUGGACGACGAUGGGGGAUCGUACAAAAGUCCGAUGUCGCCGACCUUCCACGACAACAAUCUCGACCCGUACGCCCCCCGCAGCUCAUUGCUCCCCCGGAAAUACGGCUCGGUUAGUUCUUGUCCCGAAAGCAAAACUGCCGAGUACUACGAAGAGUUGCUCACUCCUUCUCGCUCGGACUAUCUCACGUCGCGAAAAACUCCGGUGCCCAACGAUUUCCACUCGAGGCACGAGAACGGUUAUCACAACGGGACUCUGGAUCCUCAUCAAGCGACGAGCGACAAGUGGAAAAAUUAUUCCGACAAGAUCGACCCGCUCGAUCUCACCGACGGCAACGAUCGACGACUCGAUAAAUCGAUCAGGAGAUAUUUUAGACGUGGAAGUGAGUUUGGCUCGAAGAACUUCUACCACAUGUAAACAAGCACGAUGCAACGAUCAAUUUCCUGUCAGUUUUAUCGUUGCAGGACCAAACGGUCCAACCACCGAUACUCUCAUUCAAGGAGCAACGUCGAAGGGAAUAACGAAUCCCCGGAUCUACCAACCCCAAGUACGGAGUCAGAAGUGAAAGUCUCAAAAGUCGAAUGAAGAAGGAAGAGAUGCGAGCCUUAAUUAAAUCAAUUCGAUUAAUAAUCUUAAUAAUCAAUAUUCGAAUAGGAACUUAAUCAUAUUUUCGAUUACGAACCAUUUCCAAAAGUGACAAAAAUCUUGUGAUCGGCUAAUCAACUUCAAAUGAAUUUAUCACUCGUUCUUCCAACAAUUUCUACCCACAUGGUCUUCGAGAUUGCUAACGAAAAAAAACGAUAAUUUUAUCUAGAUGACGAUAGAAAAAUGGCAAUAAUAAUUAUAAAUAUUCAACUUCCACGAAUCUAACAAACAACAAUGUCAAUUGUAAAGUAAUAACAACCAGAUAAGACUCCGACCACUGGAUGGUAAACAGUGAAAGAGAAUUGAACACGAAAAUAAAUGAUAAAAAAUCCACCGAGACAUUCGAGUUGCCAAAUAGCAGAAGAAAAAUUAUAGAAGAAACUGACCUUCGUCGUUCUUCACUCAAAUCUCAACUUGUUGAUUCUCACAAUGUUUUUUUUCAUCACCGUACCCCACCUUCACGUUUUGAGUGUCUAUUCGUAUUUGUUCCUCCAUUUUUUUAUCUCGGAUAUAGGAGUACUAUCGAAGUCAUUUAUUUAUUUAAAAUAUUAAUCCCAAGUGAAGGUGUGUUUCCUAUAAAAUAGUGAGUGCUUUCAUCAUUAUUGUUCAUAUUAUUAUUAUUCUUAUUAUUAUGACAACUUUUUUGUGAAAUUCGAUUAAGGGAGCAUAUUUCAUUUCUUACGAUUGUCUCGUAAGCUAAAUUGAAUAUUAAAUGUUCAGUUAAAACAAUUAUCGCGGCUCCAAUUUUUAUAGAGAUAUAAAUGGUUCAUUCGGCAGCCACGUGACUUCUAUAAAGAUUUAUACACGCAUACGUCUUAUGAAAACGAUAAUAUAAAGGGUUUCUUUUUUUUUAUUAUGGACGCCAGAUUUUUUAUAAUAUAUUGUACGACUUUUGUGAACCCUCGUUGAUAUAAAAGGUUUAUUCUUACUUAGUAGAAUCAGAGACAGCGACGUGUGCUCUUAGACAAAGCUGAUCGAAUGAAAGAUUUUUGAAAAACAUUAUUUAAGAUCUUUCUCCUCGAAUACUGCUUCAGCACAUAUUCGUGGGGAUCGAGGAAUAAUGUAGUUGAUUUUUGACGACACUAUUGAAAAUCGUUUUCAAUGAUUUUCCAUUCGAUUGAUAGUCGGAUCGGUUAUUAGGAAUUUUAUAAAUAAAUUUGAAAAAAAAUAUUCGUCGCGUUGCUCGUUGCCAAGCCGUGACCAACCGCUACGAGCAGUUUCUAGUCAAUACAUUGUGCACAAUAACGAUAAAUCAAAUGGAGCAAUAUGCAACGAGCUACAUGAUUAUAUUAUUGUUCAAAUAGAUACUUAAGAAAAACCGGUUCGAAACUCCCAGAUUCACGGAUACAAAGCUUUUUAUUAGUUCCUUGUAACGAUAUUCUUGCCUUAAUAGAAUUACGUAAUAAAUUUUUAUUAAGAUGUAUGAAAAA